GUGUUUUUUUCAAAGGAAGAGCAAAAAGUCCAAAAGUGACACCAGCACAGCCUCUGGGUGAAAUUUUGUGUCCCUGUUUUUCAAAUGUGAAGAAGAGUUUCUUAAUAAAAGUGUUAAGAAUUCUUUGAAUGUAUUUCUAUUCCCCAGGAUCGUUCUUAGAAACGACUGAGUCAGUUUUGUUCUGGUUUUCCUCAAAAAUCAGGUGGAGGCACAGUAUAUGUGCUCAUAGUCCAGAGAAAUGUUUUUGACAAACUGGGAGUAGCUGAAAAUGUGACCUUAAAAUGGGAAGUGUUAACUACCCACAACCAACAAAGUGCAUUGAUGGUAAUGUUACAAAUAUAAAACAUAGUACCUACUUACUAAACUAAACUACUCAACGAAAGCUGGAGAUGCUAGCAUGUAUUUUGUCCAUGCAAUUUUAAUUCCACUCCAUUUUUCCUCUGUGGUCACUAGGGCAGAACAGAAACUUAUCAUAGACUCUAUAUGAGUGCUUGCACACAGAGAAGAAAAGCUGAGGUUUGCUGAAUCACUUGGUGUGUAAGUGCUUGGCUCUAUGCCUUCAGCACUGCGUUAGUGUGUUUGUUGUGAGUUUUAUCAGAUUGAUUUUCCCCUCUUCUUUGAUACCAGAUUUACGUUUCAUUCUGUACAGCCUUUUCUACUGCUUGAGCAGAAGGGCAUAAACCUGUCACUGUGAGAUUUCUAAUAGCUAAGCUAAAGAAGGGAUAGCUAUUUUAAGUUAUUUUCUGCUCUCAAAUGAGGCAGGCUUUCGACCGUCAGGAAACUGAAAGUUGGCCCUGCUUCUGAGUUAUCUAUAUGAAACCAGAAGUCUUUAAGUAUUUCUUGCAAGACUUGUAGCUGGUCAUUACAUUCACUUCUGGUUUUUACUAGAUGGUAUAGCAUCAAGUUAAUUUUCCUGACUCAUUCCGAGUGUUUUUACAGGUCUUUCCUGAUACCUUUUAUGCUAUGUAGGAUGGCAGCUGUUGGGAGAGUCUGUACAGCAAACAGUAGGUUUUGUUCAGUGCACUCAUGAAUAAAAUGAAGAGCCAUUUUGUCAAAUCAUGGGCAAUAGGAAAAUCAUGGGUAGAGUAUUUUCUGUGUAGUGAUUGUUUGCAGUAGUUUAGUUAAGAAAACCAAAUGGGACAAAAAUAUACCUCUGGGAGUAGCAUUUUGAGGAAAAUGACUUACAAACAGCCAAGUCCUAGCAAUGAGAAGGCAAGGGAAUCCCCAGUUUCUGUUCCCCUGUUCACCCACUAAAUAAAUCACGGGUCACACCAAAUGGUAAGUUGCGCAGUACAGAGAUGUUUGCUUUUCUGUAAUUCAGGGUAAAUGUUUGGCAAAAUUAUCAGUCUGUUUAAUGAUAUUCCUCUUACAGAAAUAAGUCAUCAGCAGCGUGUUCAUUUUCUCUCCUGUUCUUACAUGCUGUCACUUCAAGUGGGGGAAAUUCACUAAAGAUCUUGAUUACCUUCUUAAGAAGACAAAAAUAAUCACAAGUCUGUUUCUUGCUUGGUUUUGGUUCUCCACUAAAGUCUGGCUGAGAAUACAAACCAUAGGAGUGUCAGAUCCAAGUUAACACUUGGGGCUGUGUAUUUUUAUCACUCAGCCGAAAUUCCAGUCAACCCAAAUGGAAGCUUUGCCUGUAAGAGGGGCAGUAGUAAACAUUCUUCCAAGCAGGAACAGUAAUGAUGAGACAGUAAUUGUCUGAGUAAAUUAUCCAAGCAGCCUUCUUUCCUUUCUCAACUUCCUACGUUUCUGGUGUCCUCUGGCAUUACAGCAGAGAUCAUACAGAAUGGAAACUGCAGGAAAAGGCACAGCCAGCUGUCUUUGGCAAGAUUUCUUGGUGAUGAGAGCUCAAGACGCUACAGAGACUAAAGCUUCAUGCAUGAAAAUCCUUUACCCUCUUGUGCUGGGAGGAGCAUGAAACCACACAAGUAUGACAAGCUGCUAGAAGCAGAUGUAGAGAGAUUUACUGGGAAGGCAGUAGUUUGCAUGCCCUUUCAGGAAAUCAUUAUUGUGACCACGAGGGGGCAUUUUAGUAAGACACCGCAAAACCAACUGUAUUACUCAUGGUCACUGAGGGAGUGGCAUCACGGCCCUUAAAGGACAAGCUGAUGUGACUGCCAGGAGUAAGGUCACUAGAACAGUAAUCAGGCACUUUAGUCCAAAUCCCCUCCCUCUUUCUUCUUACCCUUUUGAUAUUGGGUGUGAUGCUUAUCUUCUACAUGGGGCUAGUGCAAUGGAAAAAUUUAACUCGUGGCUACCUGUCUCAGCCUCUGUGAAACAGAACAUUCAAGAGGUUGAUUUUCAACAGUACCUACCUGGCUUGCACCCCAAAAUCUCACUGGAGACUGAUCAGAAAUGAAACUACAACAUCGGUGGCUUUACUCUAUAUAAUUUAUCUCUUCUAGAUCUGCAUGUUAAGGAACCUUUCCAUUAAGCAGUUACCUUUUCUUUAUAUUCAGCUUUAUACAUGACAUUGCCCUUCUAGCCAACUCUAGACCUUGUUCUAAUUAAUCCUUCUUGCCAGGAGCUCAUUUCUGUCAUCUUUUCCUUGGGUUAGGCCUUCUCCUUCCUCUGGUUCCUGCAUUGACUUGCCAGAAGCAGCUUGUGGUGGCAGUUUUCCCUUCAUGCCUGCUUUGUUUCCAUUCAGCAGGCUAUGUGUCUAGAUUUGUUUUUUCCACUCCACAGGGCAAAAACCCUGUUCAAUCCUUUCAAUGUGUAUUGUGCAAUAGAUUAUUAUUCUUCCUGGCGCAUUGUUCCUUUUAAUCAAAAAUGAAAGAAGAUUGACAUGUAUAUUCUUUACUCACGUAGAGGAAAGUGCUUCUUCCAGGCAUCUGGACAUGUUCUGAGUCUCAUGGUGGUUGACAUAUUUACUAUACCUAAGGCACAGUGUUCCACACUGAAAACAUGGAGGAUGUUGUUUGGACAUCGUCUGUUUUUAGCAGUACUGUGCUUCACAAGUGGAAUGCAGAUGAACGAGUAUUUAUCAAGUGUAUCGUUUAUGAGAGGUUAACCACUACAUUGAUUACAAAAAGGACGUUGAACUUUCCCCAGAGUCCUAAAAGCCAAAUUGCAAGUCAUGCCGCAACUGCCAAAUGAACAAGACUGUGAAAUAACAAAAGCCAUCGCUGCUUGGCGUGAGAAAGCAAGGGCGCCCAACCUUGUCGUUAAGAAAGCUCAGACUAAUAAUUAUACCCUUACUAGGACGUUGCCCUUUUUAGUAAAUCUAUAUUAUUGCAGCAUACUAGUAAAUUGGGUGUAUAUGUGCACACACAGUCCGAACAGACACAGCUGGAGAGUUAACUGUUCAGGUGGGGUGAAGCAGCGGUGUUGAUCGGGUAUCAACAGGAAGACUGCUCAGUGAGGUAGCACUGUGACACACAGCCCCAGGCACUUUGUAGAAAGGGCUAAUGCCUGUCCAGAUAAGAUGAGUAGCUGCCUAAUUCACAAACUGCAGAUAUGCUUUGCAUACGUAGGAGGACUUCAUGCAAUGAAGGUGCUACGUAUUUAUGUACAGCCUGAAGAGUGGUGUCACUUUCGGCUAUUCCUGGGUGUAAUCCUUUAACUGUACAAGUCAGAACUAUGAGCCAUCGGGCUGGAGAGUUAAAAAUAAGGUGUAAGGCUUCAAAUUAAAAGGAGAUAUAUCUGGUGGGGCUGUACUGAAACAAUGUGCCUUUUUAUCUCUUUAGUAUUGGCUACAGAUAAUGGUCUUCUGAGACUCUUGAAGCUCAAGGUGAUGUUAAGUAGCCUAAAUGCUGGGUGAGCUCUGAGGAAAAAGGGAAGUCUUGCAAUAAAAACCUGGAUGAGCAAUUCUUAUCCUCUGUUGGUGAGGCCAGUGCAUAAUGGCUGGCUGGUAUGUGCUGGGGUUUUGGGGAGCAGAAGAAUUAAUGGGAACAUAUGUUGCCUAUCUUUUCUUCAGUAU
Long non-coding RNA from Pezoporus occidentalis (night parrot), 3919 nucleotides. RefSeq lists it as uncharacterized. The record is from RefSeq and is a predicted model, not a curated record. The transcript is spliced from 5 exons. NCBI's taxonomy places the organism in Eukaryota, Metazoa, Chordata, Aves, Psittaciformes, Psittacidae.